GACGAACGCUGGCGGCGUGCUUAACACAUGCAAGUCGAACGGAAAGGCCCUGCUUUUGUGGGGUGCUCGAGUGGCGAACGGGUGAGUAACACGUGAGUAACCUGCCCUUGACUUUGGGAUAACUUCAGGAAACUGGGGCUAAUACCGGAUAGGAGCUCCUGCUGCAUGGUGGGGGUUGGAAAGUCUCGGCGGUUGGGGAUGGACUCGCGGCUUAUCAGCUUGUUGGUGGGGUAGUGGCUUACCAAGGCUUUGACGGGUAGCCGGCCUGAGAGGGUGACCGGCCACAUUGGGACUGAGAUACGGCCCAGACUCCUACGGGAGGCAGCAGUGGGGAAUAUUGCACAAUGGGCGGAAGCCUGAUGCAGCAACGCCGCGUGCGGGAUGACGGCCUUCGGGUUGUAAACCGCUUUCGCCUGUGACGAAGCGUGAGUGACGGUAAUGGGUAAAGAAGCACCGGCUAACUACGUGCCAGCAGCCGCGGUGAUACGUAGGGUGCGAGCGUUGUCCGGAUUUAUUGGGCGUAAAGGGCUCGUAGGUGGUUGAUCGCGUCGGAAGUGUAAUCUUGGGGCUUAACCCUGAGCGUGCUUUCGAUACGGGUUGACUUGAGGAAGGUAGGGGAGAAUGGAAUUCCUGGUGGAGCGGUGGAAUGCGCAGAUAUCAGGAGGAACACCAGUGGCGAAGGGCGGUUCUCUGGGCCUUUCCUGACGCUGAGGAGCGAAAGCGUGGGGAGCGAACAGGCUUAGAUACCCUGGUAGUCCACGCUGUAAACGGUGGGUACUAGGUGUGGGGUCCAUUCCACGGGUUCCGUGCCGUAGCUAACGCUUUAAGUACCCCGCCUGGGGAGUACGGCCGCAAGGCUAAAACUCAAAGGAAUUGACGGGGCCCCGCACAAGCGGCGGAGCAUGCGGAUUAAUUCGAUGCAACGCGUAGAACCUUACCUGGGUUUGACAUGGAUCGGGAGUGCUCAGAGAUGGGUGUGCCUCUUUUGGGGUCGGUUCACAGGUGGUGCAUGCCUGUCGUCAGCUCGUGUCGUGAGAUGUUGGGUUAAGUCCCGCAACGAGCGCAACCCUUGUUCACUGUUGCCAGCACGUUAUGGUGGGGACUCAGUGGAGACCGCCGGGGUCAACUCGGAGGAAGGUGGGGAUGACGUCAAGUCCUCAUGCCCCUUAUGUCCAGGGCUUCACGCAUGCUACAAUGGCUGGUACAGAGAGUGGCGAGCCUGUGAGGGUGAGCGAAUCUCGGAAAGCCGGUCUCAGUUCGGAUUGGGGUCUGCAACCCGACCUCAUGAAGUCGGAGUCGCUAGUAAUCGCAGAUCAGCAACGCUGCGGUGAAUACGUUCCCGGG
Molecule: ribosomal RNA, 1344 nt
Filed under: uncultured bacterium
Lineage: Bacteria
Description: 16S ribosomal RNA
Rfam family: Bacterial small subunit ribosomal RNA
Source: RNAcentral